This 449-nucleotide ribosomal RNA is filed under the name uncultured bacterium. RNAcentral's name for it is "partial 16S ribosomal RNA". It matches the Rfam family "Bacterial small subunit ribosomal RNA", at positions 29 to 523 of the family's 1533-position model. The record is from RNAcentral.
AAUGAACGCUGGCGGCAGGCCUAACACAUGCAAGUCGAACGGGUCCUUCGGGACUAGUGGCGGACGGGUGGGUAACGCGUGGGAACGUGCCCCUUGGUACGGAACAGCCCCGGGAAACUGGGAGUAAUACCGUAUGUGGUCGAGAGACGAAAGAUUUAUCGCCCAGGGAUCGGCCCGCGUUGGAUUAGGUAGUUGGUGGGGGAAUGGCCUACAAAGCCGACGAUCCAUAGCUGGUUUGAGAGGAUGAUCAGCCACACUGGGACUGAGACACGGCCCAGACUCCUACGGGAGGCAGCAGUGGGGAAUCUUAGACAAUGGGGGAAACCCUGAUCUAGCCAUGCCGCGUGAUCGAUGAAGGCCUUAGGGUUGUAAAGAUCUUUCAGGUGGGAAGAUAAUGACUGUACCACCAGAAGAAGCCCCGGCUAACUCCGUGCCAGCCGCCGCCGUAA